This 849-nucleotide ribosomal RNA is filed under the name Triticum aestivum (bread wheat). Its description in RNAcentral is "partial small subunit ribosomal RNA". The record is from RNAcentral. Lineage: Eukaryota; Viridiplantae; Streptophyta; Magnoliopsida; Poales; Poaceae.
AUGGGAGUCCCGAUCCACCAGAUCAAGUUCCCGCUGUCGCCAUCACCGCUUCCCCAGGGCGUCCCCAUCCAGCAGAUCAAGCUUCCGCCGUCGCCGUCACCGAUUCCAGCUUGGAUCACUACCCGCCACGUGUCGGCGAUGGUGAGGCUGCAGGCUGCUGCACGCGGCCUCCUAGCGCGUCGGCGUGUGCGGGAGUUGCGUGGUCUGCAGCUGCCGCUCCUCCCAGUUGCGCUUCGCUGCGCAAAGGACCUCGAUCUCGUCCACUGCGUCAGGGAUCUUGGGCAUGCUAUUUUCCCCACGGGCAGCGACCUCCAAGUCUGCAACCUUGGCGGUUGGGGGAGCGCACCCCUCCUCGUCAUUCUCCAUCGCAAGCCCCCCACUCUUCUCUGUGCGGUGCAGACCAACAGCCGUCCGGCAGGAAGAAGGCAUGGUGUCACCGACAACAACGCACCACGUAGCACCACUGCAUUCCGUCACCGGGCGCCGCAAGGGCGCCUCUGCUGGUCACUCUUGCGACCAUUUCCAGGUGGCCAUACACAUGCACUCCUUUUGUCCAGAUGGUGUCCAUGGGAUCCAGGUGGUUGUACGCGUGCACGUCCGACGUGCGGAUGGUAUCCACUUUUUAUUAAGAGGUCCAAAAUAAAUCAUCCCGGUCCAUUUCAGGUUGAGAGUAAUAAAACAAGCCGAGAUGUAAAAGGCUUGUUUUUAGGUGUUAGAUCUGUGUUGCGUCGAGUCAUGGUUAUAAGUUGGUUAGGCUGCAGCUCGAGGACAAGCUGCAUGUCUAGGUGGGUUGUAGUGUUAGAGUACGUAAUGGGCCUAAUGGCCUGGGCUGGCGGUAUAGCCCGUUAG